This 301-nucleotide ribosomal RNA is filed under the name uncultured bacterium. Its description in RNAcentral is "partial 16S ribosomal RNA". It matches the Rfam family "Bacterial small subunit ribosomal RNA", at positions 509 to 808 of the family's 1533-position model. The record is from RNAcentral.
CAGCCGCCGCGGGAAUACGUAGGGGGCGAGCGUUGUCCGAAGUUACUGGGCGUAAAGCGCGCGUAGGCGGUUUUUUAAGUCUGGGGUGAAAGGUUCACGGCUCAACCGGAACAGUGCCUUGGAUACUGGGAGACUUGAAUCUGGCAGAGGAUAGUGGAAUUCCUGGUGUAGCGGUGAAAUGCGUAGAUAUCAGGAGGAACACCGAUGGCGAAGGCAGCUAUCUGGGCUAAGAUUGACGCUGAGGUGCGAAAGCGUGGGGAGCGAACGGGAUUAGAUACCCCAGUAGUCCCUGUCUCUUAUA